Molecule: non-coding RNA, 168 nt
Organism: Arachis ipaensis
Lineage: Eukaryota; Viridiplantae; Streptophyta; Magnoliopsida; Fabales; Fabaceae
Source: RefSeq, a predicted model, not a curated record
CAAGAAGAUGGAAGGACACUUAGAGCAAAUAAGGAGAAACUUAGGAUUGCCAACCAUUGAGGAUGAAGACUAAUUUGUGGGUGAGGAAGUGGAAGAACAAGAAAAAGAGGUCCCAGUGUCAAGUGAAAUUUCUAUGAAGAAUAAGGUUGUGGAGAAUGAAAUUGAACC